Molecule: ribosomal RNA, 421 nt
Filed under: uncultured bacterium
Lineage: Bacteria
Description: bacterial SSU rRNA
Rfam family: Bacterial small subunit ribosomal RNA
Source: RNAcentral
UAAGGAAUAUUGGUCAAUGGACGCAAGUCUGAACCAGCCAUGCCGCGUGAAGGAUGAAGGUCCUCUGGAUUGUAAACUUCUUUUAUCUGGGACGAAAACGGGAUUUUUAUCUCAAUUGACGGUACCAGAGGAAUAAGCACCGGCUAACUCCGUGCCAGCAGCCGCGGUAAUACGGAGGGUGCGAGCGUUAUCCGGAUUUACUGGGUUUAAAGGGUGCGUAGGUGGGCUUAUAAGUCAGUGGUGAAAUCUCCGAGCUUAACUUGGAAACUGCCGUUGAUACUAUAGGUCUUGAAUUAUCUGGAGGUAAGCGGAAUAUGUCAUGUAGUGGUGAAAUGCUUAGAUAUGACAUAGAACACCAAUUGCGAAGGCAGCUUACUACAUAUAAAUUGACGCUGAGGCACGAAAGCGUGGGGAUCAAACA